AUACGGGGGAUGCAAGCGUUAUUCGGAAUCAUGGGGCGUAAAGGGCACGCAGGCGGUUCUGUCAGUCAGAUGUGAAAGCCCGGGGCUUAACCCCGGACGUGCAUUUGAAACAGCAGGACUUGAGUAUGGUAGAGGAAAGCGGAAUUCCUGGUGUAGAGGUGAAAUUCGUAGAUAUCAGGAGGAACACCGGUGGCGAAGGCGGCUUUCUGGACCAAAACUGACGCUGAGGUGCGAAGGCGUGGGUAGCGAACAGGAUUAGAAACCCCUGUAGUCC
Molecule: ribosomal RNA, 274 nt
Filed under: uncultured bacterium
Lineage: Bacteria
Description: partial 16S ribosomal RNA
Rfam family: Bacterial small subunit ribosomal RNA
Source: RNAcentral